GCCCUUGUAGCUCAGUCGGUAGAGCAGCGGUUUUGUAAACCGAAGGUCGCGGGUUCAAAUCCUGCCGGGGGCACCA
Molecule: transfer RNA, 76 nt
Filed under: Azoarcus sp.
Lineage: Bacteria; Pseudomonadati; Pseudomonadota; Betaproteobacteria; Rhodocyclales; Zoogloeaceae
Description: tRNA-Thr
Rfam family: tRNA
About the family: Transfer RNA (tRNA) molecules are approximately 80 nucleotides in length. Their secondary structure includes four short double-helical elements and three loops (D, anti-codon, and T loops). Further hydrogen bonds mediate the characteristic L-shaped molecular structure. tRNAs have two regions of fundamental functional importance: the anti-codon, which is responsible for specific mRNA codon recognition, and the 3' end, to which the tRNAs corresponding amino acid is attached (by aminoacyl-tRNA synthetases). tRNAs cope with the degeneracy of the genetic code in two manners: having more than one tRNA (with a specific anti-codon) for a particular amino acid; and 'wobble' base-pairing, i.e. permitting non-standard base-pairing at the 3rd anti-codon position.
Source: RNAcentral